This 475-nucleotide ribosomal RNA is filed under the name uncultured bacterium. RNAcentral's name for it is "SSU rRNA". It matches the Rfam family "Bacterial small subunit ribosomal RNA", at positions 26 to 521 of the family's 1533-position model. The record is from RNAcentral.
AGGAUGAACGCUGGCGGCGUGCCUAACACAUGCAAGUCGAACGUCCUGUCUCGCAAGAGGCAGGGAGUGGCGGACGGGUGAGUACCACGUGGGUCAUCUACCGUGAGGUGAGGAAUACCGGCGAGAAAUCGCCGACAAGACCGCAUAGGCUCGAUGCAAGUCGAGCAAAGCUCUUUCGAGAGAGGGAGCGCCACACGAGGAGCCUGCGCCCGAUUAGCUAGCUGGUGGAGUAACGGUUCACCAGGGCGACGAUCGGUAGCUGGUCUGAGAGGACGAUCAGCCACACUGGGAUUGAGAACGGCCCAGACUCCUACGGGGGGCAGCAGUGAGGAAUUUCGUCAAUGGGGGCAACCCUGAACGAGCAAUGCCGCGUGCAGGAAGAAGGUUUUCGGAUCGUAAACUGCUUUUCUCGGGGAAGAGAACGGACGGUACCCGAGGAAUCAGCCCCGGCUAACUACGUGCCAGCAGCCGCGGU